Molecule: non-coding RNA, 69 nt
Organism: Streptomyces violaceusniger Tu 4113
Lineage: Bacteria; Bacillati; Actinomycetota; Actinomycetes; Kitasatosporales; Streptomycetaceae
Source: Rfam
CUUCAACGACCCCAUCCACAAAGGCCGAUCACGAUCCUGGCCAUACGUGGCCAACACCGCCUGCGCCUC